AAAGUCGUAACAAGGUUUCCGUAGGUGAACCUGCGGAAGGAUCAUUACCAAUCCAAAAAUACAAACCACUGUGAUCCUGUAAACGUCUUUGGGUGGAGAGGAGUUUAUUGAAAGAUAUACUUUUUUUCCACCCAACAUUAUAAACCCCUUAAACAAUUAUGUUGAAUUUAAAAAACUCUUAGAUUUUUCUUGUAAUAAAGAAAAGAUAAGAAGAAAAAAACAUAAAAUACAACUUUUAACGGUGGAUCUCUUGGCUCAU
Molecule: unclassified non-coding RNA, 259 nt
Filed under: Basidiomycota sp.
Lineage: Eukaryota; Fungi; Basidiomycota
Description: partial contains small subunit ribosomal RNA, internal transcribed spacer 1, and 5.8S ribosomal RNA
Rfam family: Eukaryotic small subunit ribosomal RNA (bases 1-47)
Source: RNAcentral